AUUGAACGCUGGCGGCAGGCCUAACACAUGCAAGUCGAGCGGUAGAGAGAAGCUUGCUUCUCUUGAGAGCGGCGGACGGGUGAGUAAUGCCUAGGAGUCUGCCUGGUAGUGGGGGAUAACGUUCGGAAACGGACGCUAAUACCGCAUACGUCCUACGGGAGAAAGCAGGGGACCUUCGGGCCUUGCGCUAUCAGAUGAGCCUAGGUCGGAUUAGCUAGUUGGUGGGGUAAUGGCUCACCAAGGCGACGAUCCGUAACUGGUCUGAGAGGAUGAUCAGUCACACUGGAACUGAGACACGGUCCAGACUCCUACGGGAGGCAGCAGUGGGGAAUAUUGGACAAUGGGCGAAAGCCUGAUCCAGCCAUGCCGCGUGUGUGAAGAAGGUCUUCGGAUUGUAAAGCACUUUAAGUUGGGAGGAAGGGCAGUAAAUUAAUACUUUGCUGUUUUGACGUUACCGACAGAAUAAGCAUCGGCUAACUCUGUGCCAGCCGCCCGCAGUAA
Molecule: ribosomal RNA, 501 nt
Filed under: uncultured bacterium
Lineage: Bacteria
Description: partial 16S ribosomal RNA
Rfam family: Bacterial small subunit ribosomal RNA
Source: RNAcentral